Molecule: long non-coding RNA, 202 nt
Organism: Daphnia pulicaria
Lineage: Eukaryota; Metazoa; Arthropoda; Branchiopoda; Diplostraca; Daphniidae
Exons: 2
Source: RefSeq, a predicted model, not a curated record
GCAUCUGCAAGGUUGGAAGUAAUUAUCGAUUGGAUUUUUCUCUUGGAUGAAAAGGAAUGAAUGAACUAUUGAUUAAACAACAAACCGUUCCGGCGAUAAAUUCUGGCAUAGCCAGCGGAUCGUUGUAAAGGACUUGAAGAUGCUGGGCGCCGUGAAUUGAUGCAGGUUGUCACCCGUCACCAUCACCGUCCGGAUGUGGGCU